AGCAGUACUAAAAACGUAGACUACACUAUCAUGUCACACUCAAACAUCAAAUGUGUUGCGUGUCUGUAGGGACUUUUCAACAACAACCAGAAGCAGCCAAAACAGAGGAACCCUAGCCUGUUACUAUGUCAUGCCAUCAAAGUUGAGGCAAUCCAACUCGACGGCAGUCUGUAGAAACCACGCAAAGUGAUUGCAGCAAGAGAAUACGAAUGAGAAGUGCUGGUCUGUAGAAAGUUGUUGACAGCCACACAGCACAUGAACACUGCCCUAUGCUAUUGACCAACCAGCAGCCGCUGCUAGUAUCAAGGCCGUGCCAUCGAGGGCAAAAAGCUUUCGCUGCCGCGCGACUAUAUACUACGAAACAAGCAGAGCUUGGUGUACAUAGUAAAAUCAUUCAUUUGGAUUUUUCGUUUUUUGAAUGACCCGUCUAAUACAAGAACACAGCUGAUGGAGGAAAAACGUGAUCUCAGGAUUUCCUCACAGUCACACCCACCAUAUUCAUCACCGAGUAAAAUAAAAAUUACGAUGAAGGAAAACGUCACUAAAAGUAGAAAUACUAUACCUCUAUGCUACUGCGGUUCGCUCUGUUUGGUUGUUCGUCAUCCGAAUCUGGAAAUGAAAAUAUUUUAAAACACUUUUUUGUUGCUAACCACUCAUUACUCAAACGCAAGAAUUGGAACACUGGAAAGAAAACUGUACAAGAGUGUACAUACCUUGCGGGGAAUCUAUUGGCGAAUAAAAGUCAUCGAGAUUAUGGCUGCGGACGGAAGGGGCCUGAUUUUGCAGCAAAGGUGCGCGUUCAUCAUCAGAUGAGAUAGCUAUAAUAGAGUAACAAAUUUGUAAAGCUUAAAAUGUCAAUUAGUAAACACUAUAAUAGUAUACCUCUGAAAAAAUCACGGGCAAGGGAUUCUUGGGGCAGGACUCGAAAAUCAAGAAACCAAGCUUCACCCCAUGACAAAACAAAAGAACUCAGAACAAGAAAAACAUCUAGCGUAUAGUUGGUGGCUUUAGCCCACUACGAAAAAAAAAGGUGUAAAAUUAAAUGAUUGCACACACGCGACGAAAAAUAUUUAGUUAGAUGAUUUACUAUACCUCGAAAAAGAAGACUUUUAUGAUAAGAAAUCCACAACUUCCCGCCGUUGUUAUCUAUAACAGUAAAACAAUAAAAUUGUGUUAAUGCAAAAAAUUACACGCACUUCACGGAUUUUAGGUCAAACUUA
Daphnia pulex (common water flea) is the source of this 1220-nucleotide long non-coding RNA. RefSeq lists it as uncharacterized. The transcript has 2 exons. The record is from RefSeq and is a predicted model, not a curated record. NCBI's taxonomy places the organism in Eukaryota, Metazoa, Arthropoda, Branchiopoda, Diplostraca, Daphniidae.